Molecule: ribosomal RNA, 375 nt
Filed under: uncultured organism
Description: partial 16S ribosomal RNA
Rfam family: Bacterial small subunit ribosomal RNA
Source: RNAcentral
GGGGGGGGGGCAAGCUUGUUCGGGAAUUACUGGGCGUAAAGGGGCGCGCAGGCGGGCGAGACAGUCUUUCGUGAAAUCCCACGGGCUCAACCGUGGAACUGCGGGAGAUACUUCUCUCUUGAGUUCGGGAGAGGAGUGUGGAAUUCCCAGUGUAGCGGUGAAAUGCGUAGAUAUUGGGAGGAACACCGGUGGCGAAGGCGGCACUCUGGACCGAUACUGACGCUGAGGCGCGAAAGCUAGGGGAGCAAACGGGAUUAGAUACCCCGGUAGUCCUGGCUGUAAACGCUGAGCACUUGGUGUAGCGGGUAUCGACCCCUGCUGUGCCGAAGCUAACGCAUUAAGUGCUCCGCCUGGGGAGUACGGUCGCAAAGGCUG